AGUGAACGCUGGGGGUAGGCCUAACACAUGCAAGUCGAACGGCAGCACAGGAGAGCUUGCUCUCUGGGUGGCGAGUGGCGGACGGGUGAGGAAUACAUCGGAAUCUACUUUUUCGUGGGGGAUAACGUAGGGAAACUUACGCUAAUACCGCAUACGCCCUACGGGUGAAAGCAGGGGAUCUUCGGACCUUGCGCGAUUGAAUGAGCCGAUGUCGGAUUAGCUAGUUGGCGGGGUAAAGGCCCACCAAGGCGACGAUCCGUAGCUGGUCUGAGAGGAUGAUCAGCCACACUGGAACUGAGACACGGUCCAGACUCCUACGGGAGGCAGCAGUGGGGAAUAUUGGACAAUGGGCGCAAGCCUGAUCCAGCCAUACCGCGUGGGUGAAGAAGGCCUUCGGGUUGUAAAGCCCUUUUGUUGGGAAAGAAAUCCAGCUGGUUAAUACCCGGUUGGGAUGACGGUACCCAAAGAAUAAGCACCGGCUAACUUCGUGCCAGCAGCCGCGGUAA
This 506-nucleotide ribosomal RNA is filed under the name uncultured bacterium. RNAcentral's name for it is "partial 16S ribosomal RNA". It matches the Rfam family "Bacterial small subunit ribosomal RNA", at positions 29 to 523 of the family's 1533-position model. The record is from RNAcentral.